This 61-nucleotide microRNA precursor is filed under the name Monopterus albus (swamp eel). RNAcentral's name for it is "Mal-Mir-181-P2a1_pre stem-loop". The record is from RNAcentral. Lineage: Eukaryota; Metazoa; Chordata; Actinopteri; Synbranchiformes; Synbranchidae.
AACAUUCAUUGCUGUCGGUGGGUUUAACUGUGUGGAAGAGCUCACUGAACGAUGAAUGCAA